GUUAUAUAAAAUGUUUCUGACACGCACCUCUCUUUUUCGUCUUCACAUUGUUCUCUUCUGUCUCUGUUCUCCUCAUCUUUUCAGCCCUUUUCUGCUCCUUAGGCUGGGGCUCGGGUCCUUCAGGAGGAGCAUCCAUCCUUUUCCUCUUCAAAGGAUUCACCUUGCUUACUCUUCUAUUGAUAGAGCAGGAUGCCUCUACACAGGUUGCUGUCCUUUCAGUCUUCACAUCCUUCUCUUUUGUCUCUCUUCUCCUAUUUUUAACUGGCUUCUCCUUGGGCUGGAGUUCAGGUUGUUCAAGAGCAAGAUCCAUCCUUUCCUCUUCAAAGGAUUCACCUUGCUUACUCUUCUAUUGACAGGGCAGGGUGCCUCUACACAGGUCUCUGUCUUUCAGUCUUCACAUCCUUCUCUUCUGUCAUUCUUCUCCUCUUUUUAACUGGCUUCUCCUUGAUCUGGAGUUCAAGUUGUUCAGGAGCAAGAUCCAUCCUUUUCUUCUUCAAAGGAUUCACCUUGCUUACUCUUCUAUUGACAGGGCAGGGUGCCUCUACACAGGUCUCUGUCUUUUCAGUCUUCACAUCCUUCUCUUCUGUCGUUC
This is a long non-coding RNA of Ictalurus punctatus (channel catfish), 592 nucleotides long. Lineage: Eukaryota; Metazoa; Chordata; Actinopteri; Siluriformes; Ictaluridae. The record is from Ensembl.